Molecule: ribosomal RNA, 253 nt
Filed under: uncultured bacterium
Lineage: Bacteria
Description: partial 16S ribosomal RNA
Rfam family: Bacterial small subunit ribosomal RNA
Source: RNAcentral
UACGUAGGGGGCAAGCGUUGUUCGGAAUUACUGGGCGUAAAGGGCGCGUAGGCGGUCUUGUAAGUCUUGUGUGAAAUCCCUCGGCUUAACUGAGGAACUGCACGGGAUACUGCAUGACUUGAGAUCGGGAGAGGGAAGCGGAAUUCCGGGUGUAGCGGUGAAAUGCGUAGAUAUCCGGAGGAACACCGGUGGCGAAGGCGGCUUCCUGGACCGACACUGACGCUGAGGCGCGAAAGCUAGGGGAGCAAACGGG